UACAGAGGGUGCGAGCGUUAUUCGGAAUUACUGGGCGUAAAGCGCGCGUAGGCGGCUUUGCACGUCGGCUGUGAAAUCCCCAGGCUUAACCUGGGAACUGCAUUCGAGACUGCAUUGCUAGAGUAUGGGAGAGGGAAGUGGAAUUUCCGGUGUAGCGGUGAAAUGCGUAGAUAUCGGAAGGAACAUCAGUGGCGAAAGCGACUUCCUGGACCAGUACUGACGUUCAGGCACGAAAGCGUGGGGAGCAAACAGG
This 253-nucleotide ribosomal RNA is filed under the name uncultured bacterium. RNAcentral's name for it is "partial 16S ribosomal RNA". It matches the Rfam family "Bacterial small subunit ribosomal RNA", at positions 524 to 776 of the family's 1533-position model. The record is from RNAcentral.